This 5000-nucleotide long non-coding RNA is filed under the name Sus scrofa (pig). RNAcentral's name for it is "lncRNA (ENSSSCG00045034890.1)". The record is from RNAcentral. Lineage: Eukaryota; Metazoa; Chordata; Mammalia; Artiodactyla; Suidae.
UCGGGGCAGCGGCAGCGGAGCAGCAACAUCUUCGGGACCCCGGCUACAGCGUCCGUGUGGCCCGCGGGCCAACCGAGCAGCGGGAGACCACGCGCCCCGCGGGAGAGACCCUUCAAGAACUGCUCAGUCCAGAAGAGGUGGGAUUAUUGGAAGCAUCGAUGCUUUACCCUGAGGUGAGUGCAGAAGUUUUCAUUAAAAGGCAAACAGCUGAUUCCUACUUUUGGUCUUGAGGUGUUUGAAAAUUCAUGAAACUGUGGUGUAAAAUUAGGCCAUAUUAUUGUAAGUAUUAAGGAUCCUCCAAAUUGGUUUAUAGCUUUGUAGUAGUUCAUGCUUUAUACCUUUCAUGUGAGGUAUGUGCAGAAAUAAUUCCUAGGCAGAUAUUAUCCUUAUGUUUGAAGUUGGCUGAUAGGUAGAAACAGUGGGAAUUGCAAAGCACCAAUCUGGUCAUUUUGGGUUAAAAUAUUGUGAGCAAAGAUUCUCUCUCGUGGUGCUUCUCAGCCUUUUUCUUGUCGUGUGCACAUAGAAAAUGGUAAUAUUUCUAUGAUAUACCGCCGAGGCUGCUCACUCGCAGAGAUGGCUGGCACUGGUAAUCAGCUCCAGAGCAGCCAGUAGGAUCUCAUCUUAGUACAUCUGAAAACCAAUGUUUGGAAGAGCUUUGUGGGAGAGCAACAGAUGCUUUCCUUUUGGAAAAUCCUGAAGUAUCCCCUGCUUUUUAUGCAUCCAUGUGAUUGUAGUCUGGGUUUAGAGAAGCUUUUCUUAGAGGAAAAAAAAUGAUCCUUUGGGUUCUAAUUUUUCACUUGAAGUUAAUUUUAUCUAAAGUUCAACCAGUAUCCCUGAUUUUAAAAUAUUUUCCUUCCCCCUCUAUCUGCACAAUGGCAAAGAAGCCCUCCCCAGAGGACCCCCCCCCCCGCCCCCCGCCAGGGACAUGUCAGUUCUGUCAGGAUUCAUUGUCCUGGGGCUCUGGGCAAGUUCACAGAGGAUAAAAAUCUAGCUCAAGGGUCAGGAGGACAUCCCCUAGUCUGGGGUCAUUGUAGAGUUUAGGCCUCACUUCAGAAUUAGGUCUAGUCUGAGUAAGAUUUAGUUACCUCAGUAGUCAUCUCAAAAAUGCUGAGGGGUUCAGCAGAUUUGGGUCCUGUUUCAAAGCCAGACUGAAUAUCACAGAAUUGUAGACUUCAGCUAAUGGGGCUUGGAUGCUUUGGUGUGUCAUCUGUGUCUCAUUUAGUUACCAUCCCACGUACUGCCAUAGUUACCACCUCAAGGAUAAGAGGUAACAACUGGGAUGACAGUGGUGUCAUCAUGAAAGACUGGCACAGAUACCCUUUGGUCUCAGUUCUAGAAGCUGUCUUAUCUUACCAGAAUUUUAUCUUGUUUUGGUUUGAUUUUAUAACCUCUGUGUCUUAAAUUUUGCUUUAAAAAAAUAUAAUCGAAAGAUUUUUUUUUUUUAGAGCAGUUUAAGUUUUUUUUUGUUUGGUUUUUUUUUGUUUGGUUUUUUUUUUUUUUUUUUUUUUUAAGAUAGUAUACUACUUUAUUCCAGAUAUACCAAGGACAUAGGCUCACUAAUCUAGACAUGCAGUUAAUUCAAACAAAACCAAAAUUUGGCCUAAGCAUUCAUGUUAUUAAAUACCACAUUUCCUAAACUGUAUAAUUGGUAUAAUUCUUUCUCCCUAAAAAUGCUACAAUAAAUAAAGGAAGAAUGAUUUCUUAGCUAACACUGACAGUGCAUCCUUUUCCUGUAAUGUCACUUACAUGAGAUCUUAUAAAAAUCUGAGAUAGCUGAAUUUAGGGGUGUUGGAGUUCAUACAAAUCAUAAAGAGGGGAAAUCCUUUAAUCCUUGGCUCUCCUCAGAGUCUGUAUUUUCAUUCAAGGGAAAAUGGAACUGAAAAGAUGUAACAAAGGCCAUCUCUAGAUCUCUGGAAGCAAAGUGGGUCUUUCUCAGUAGUUUUCCAAUAUUUGAACUUGUUUUUGAUCGUACUCCAUUUUCCUUUUUUGUGGAAUUCUCCACUGGAUAUGGUGCCCACGUCCUACUGAGAAUGCAAUCAGAUCCUCCUCUCUUCACCUUCCCGUUUCAGUCGGGCACAGCCCAACAGAGCAGUUUAAGGUUUACAGAAAAAUUAAUUGAAAACUGCAGUGAGUUACUACAUACUCUCCCCCCAAAGCACCCUUAAUUUCCUUUGUAUCUGUGCAGUACAUUUUUUACAACUGAUGGACCAGUAUUGAUAUAUUUUUCAUUAACUAAAGUGCAUUAUGUCAUAGUUCAUUCUUUGUAUUGUACAUUCUUUGGGUUUUGAAAAAUGAAUGACAACAUAUUUCCAUCAUUACUAUAUCCUGAAGAAUAUUUUCACUGCCCUAAAAAGUCCAUGUGCUCCCUUCAUUUGCCCUUCCCUCGCCUUGCUGAAACCCUCCCAACCCUGGUUCCUUUUACGGCUUCCAUUGUUUGCUUUUUCAGGAAUGUCACAUAGUGGGAGUCAUACAGCAGAUAGCAUUUUCAGAUUGGCUUCUUUCACUUAGUAAUAGCUUUGAAGGUUCUUCCAUGUCUUUUUGUACCUGGACAGCUCAUUGCCUUUUAUUGUUGACUAAUAAUUGAUCAUACAGAUGUACCACAGUUUGUUUUUCCAUUCCCUUAUUGCUGAACAUUUUGGUUACUUCCAGGUUUGACAGUUAGGAAAAAGCUGCUAGAACCGUUUCUCUGCAGACUUUUGAGUGGACAUUUUUUAGUUCAUUUGGGUGUAUACCAAGGAGUGCCAUUAAUAGAUUGUAUGGUCUGAGCAUGUUUAGUUUGUAAAAAACCUCCACACUGUAUUCCAAAGUGGCUGUAUCAUUUUGCAUUCCCAGGGAAUGACAGUUCCUGUUCCUCCACAUCCUUAAUAGCAUUUGGUGUUGUCAGUGUUUGCAAUUUUAGCCAUUUUGGUAGAUGUGUAGUGUUUUGUGCCUUAGGUUUUUAAUAGUAUUAAAAAAAAGAGUGUGAUUACCCAGAAGACUCUUGAUACUUAGAUCCUAGAAAUUUUUUCAUCAUUUACAUGGUGAUGACAUUGAUUAAGAAUCUUAGAUUGGAGUUCCUGGCAUGGUACAGUGAAAAUGAAUCCGACUAGGAACCAUGAGGUUGCGGAUUUGAUCCCUGGCCUCGCUCAGUGGGUUAAGGAUCCCAUGUUGCCGUGAGCUGUGGUGUAGGUUGCAGACAUGGCUCGGAUCUGGCAUUGCUGUGGCUGUGGUGUAGGCCGGCAUCUACAGCUCUGAUUAGACCCCUAGCCUGGGGACCUCCAUAUGCCACAGGUGCAGCCCUAAAAAAAAAAAAAAAAAAAAAAAAAAAAGGAAUCUGAGAUUUCCUCUGGUACAUCCACUGUAGUAAUGUAUUGUGUAGUAAUGUAUUUUUAUAAGUGUGUAUGUAAAUCUAAGAGUAUAUGUAUGUAUGUUUGUGAAUACAUGCUAUUCUCUAUAUAGAAUAUGAUAGAAAGAAUAUUAUAGAAAGAGGUUAUUAUAGGUAAAGAUUUAUCCAAUAAUACAUCAUCAAAAUGAAAAUAUGAAGAGUUUAUCAAUGGUAAUUUUAUUUGUUUCUAAAAUUGAAAUAUGAGUUUCUACAGAUCCUUGUGUUAAAAUAGGCCAUGCUUAGUGUUAUUUAUAACUAGUUUUCUGACAUAAAUAAGUGUUUCUAUAAGCCACAUCUAUUUAGGCAUUCUUAAUUUUUGUCUGUGGUUAAAUUCAACUAUGCAGAUAUAGCCACAGGAUUCUUCAAGGUCUUUUCACGUUCUAGUAAUUUUCUAGCAAAGCAAGUACGUAUUCCUGCUUUAGAUUUGAUGUACUACUGUACUACUUUGUAAAUAUUUCUGAUGAGAUAAACUUCCAUACCAGAAUGUUACUUUCUCUAGUGUAAGUACUAUUCCCUUGAUAUUUUUGUCUUUAAAGCAUGGCACAGUGCCUAUGAUAAAGAAAAAAAUUUAAAUGACACUUGUUAAAGACAGUAAGGCUUUAUUCACGAGGGACUGCUACAGUGGCAUUUUGCAGCAGGAAAGAGAAAUAGGGAUCAUGUCCACAUACAACAAGGACAAGUGGAGAUUUAUACCCAGGGGACAAAGUGGGGAGCAAUGGUUGGAUGGAAAACUACCAAGGGUAGGGGAAUUCUUGCCAGACUGUCUCAACAGGAUGCUUGCUGAAGGCAGGCCAGCUAGGUAAGAUAUGGAGAGUGGGGGGUGAGGAUAUUUGAUCUAAUAUCAAAGAUAAUUCAAUGCCAAGGAAAGAGGAUGUUGACUAAACUAACUCAACAGAAUUCUUACUAAAACUGAAUUACGCAGGCCAAGGAGAGAACUCAAGGUCAGAGCCUAGUUGAGAAGAGGAGUCAGAGGAUCCUGACCCAGAUUUAGUCAAGGAGAGAGUCUUUUUCACCUGACAUAUGGUAAAAUUUCAGUGAGUCAGUAUUGUGUUAUGUAGAUACCGUUACUUCAGAUACUGUAGAAAUUUGAUAACAAAGUCCUACAGAUACCAAGGAAGCAUUGUAAUUUAAGGAAAAUAUAGAAAAAUAAAUUUAAAUUGUACAAAUAAUUUUGUGUAAUGUUGAAGACUAACCUACUUAACAGAGCACAGAUCUGUUAAAAAAUUAAACAAUUCACAUACAUGAGCAGUUUUAUGUGCAAAAUAGUAUCUCAACAGUGACAGAAAUGUGAAGAUAAAAUAGACAUGUUCUCCAAUUUCUAAAAAAGAUGAACUCUAGUGGAGAAGGGUUUGGGGGAGGGAAAGAGAACUAUGUUGUAUUAGUGAUCACAGAAUAAAGAUAUAUACAAACAGUAUGGAUUUCCUGCUGUCAUGCCGUGAGUUAAGAAUCCAACUGCAGUGGCUCCAGUCGCUGUGGAGGCGCAGGUUUGAUCCCUGGCCCAGUGCAAUGGGUUAAAGGAUCCACAUUGCUGCUCCACUGUGUGGAUUGCAGCCGUGGCUUGAAUUCAGUCCCUGGCCUGGGAACUUCUAUGUGCUAUGAGUGUGGCCAUUAAAAAAAAAAAUAAAAAAAGUAAAAA